Molecule: non-coding RNA, 2323 nt
Organism: Myodes glareolus (Bank vole)
Lineage: Eukaryota; Metazoa; Chordata; Mammalia; Rodentia; Cricetidae
Source: RefSeq, a predicted model, not a curated record
AGAAAAAUGUAGAGCUCAAUAAAAAUCAAUAAAAAACCCCAAUCAUUUCUUAGUUAGAGGGUCAUCCAUGCCACCAUAUGCACAUAAAAGACAGAGGACAGCGGUGCGAGUCAGAUGUCUCCUUCUUCCUUUACAUGAGUUCUGGAUAAAAUUCAGUUUCCAGGGAAGGCUGGGAAUACCUUUACUAGAUGGGCACAGUGCUAGUCUUCUGGGCUUUGUAGCGUGGGUAUUUCGAAGCUUAGUGGUUAACAAUUUCCCUAAGCAGUCACAAGGUUAAAUAUUUACCUGUAGUUAUUUCUAACAAAGACCACUACAAACACCUCCUUCACAUGCUACGAAAGGAAGAAUGCAUCCAGUUCUGGCAACCAUAAUGCAACCAGCAACCAGCAAGCCAACAGGUCAGACAAGGACAAGAUAUUAGGAAGAAAUCUUUGAGAGAAUUCUAGAUUACUCUGCUCCCUCCAGUGUCUGUCAGCCUGUACCAGCGCUUCACUGCUAUUCUUUAAGGCUACAGCGAUAGAGAAUAGGACUAGCAGACAAACCUGCAAAACUCUCAGUUUUCCCGUUUAUUGAGAUUUGACUAUUUUUUCUCUGUCUAGAAAAGUCUUUCUUCAUUUUUCAUAAGCCUUUGACUGAUCUCCAAAAUUUCUGCAAAAUAUGAAUGUGGUAAGUUUUUCUUGAUGUUUUUACAGGAGAUAUUUUUUAGAAGUUCUUAUUCCUUUAAUUUUGGUGAAAUCAUCCUUGUACCUUGUUUAUCGUUAUGAAACACAUUUGAGAUUUAUAAAUAAAUCUCAAAGAAUUUGCUUCACAAGUUCAACUCACAGGCCAAUCUGCCUAAUUUGGAAACAGCAACAAAAUUACUAAUGGCUUAUAAAUGCGUAAGUGAGGAUUUGAAGAUUUUCGGCUGUAUUUUAACACUAUGAAUGUUGUGCAAAGUCAGCGGAGCGAAAGGGAAAGCCACUCUGGAAGAACACACCUCAGAUGAAUCUCAAAUCUAUUGCUGCAAUUUUCCAUGGGUUGCUGCUGCUGUUCUGUGCCUGAACAGAAUCCAGUUCCAACCAUCCUGUAGCAGGAGGAAUUGCUUCAUGGACUAGGUGAGAGAAGUGGAACCAGCCCGAAGAGAAAGCAACUUUACAGCAUCAGAAAAGGGAGAAAACUGGAGACACUUUCUUCAGUCUGGGACUGCAAAAAGAUGUCGUGCAGAAUGGAGGUCACCUGAAAGCCAGGAUCCCUGUGAACAAAGCAAAUCUCUUCAUUCUUUUAAUGUUCGACGCAACAACCCCUAAAAAACAAGAGAGUUUUUCUGUUGUUGAGGUCACAAAGUCUGUGGUAUUUUGUUAUGGAAACUGCAGCUGAGGAAAGCGCCAGUUUGUGUUUCAGUUAAUAUUUUGGGUUUCUAAUAGCAGAAGCUGCCAUUGACCCAUUCAUGGAUGAAAGGCGGUGUAUUGAAUGGUGUCUGAGAAGUAUAGAGAAUUACAGGGAAUGCAGAAUGACAAGAACCUGCAAAUGUUUCUCUCAUUUCCUCUGAAUCAGACAUGCAGUUAAAGUUGGGUCAUUAUCCUUCCAGGGAUUUCUGUUAAAUGCUCAACCUCUCUCCAGCCUCGCGUCUCUGCUUCUGGUGCUAGCAGUCCUCUUCAGAAAGAAAUGAGUUGUUCUUUGAGCUCAAUUGACUUGAAAUACAUAGUGCAGGGCUUGCAAAAAUCAAUUUCAAAAGGACUUUCUUUAAUUUUUCUGCCUUUUAAUUUUAUUUUCAGCAUGGCUCAGGCAUUUUAACUGAAAGAAGAGAUGGUGGCAGAAAACAGUUUACAUACCAGAAAUCUGGUCCACAUGCCUCUACAGAAAGUGCUCCUACACACUGUCUUAAUUAGGGCUUCUAUUGCUGUGAAGAGACACCAUGACCAUGGCAACUCUUAUAAAGAAGACAUUUCAUUCAAUUUGGCCUACAGUUUCAGAGGCUUAGUCUGUUACCUUCAUGGUGUCAUACAUGGUGCUUCAGAAGGAGUUGAGAGUUCUACAUCCUGAUCUGCAGGUAACAGGAAGUAAGGUGAAUGCCACCCCGCACAGAGCUUAAGCAUAGGAGCCCUAAAGUCUACCCACACAGUGACACACUGCCUCCAAAAAGCUCACCUCUAUUCCAACGAAAUCACACCUCCUAAUAGGACCACUCUUUUAUGUGGAUCAUUUUCUUUCAAACUACCACACGUACUGAGUCGUCCUGCAAGACCUUACUUUCAUCAUUUGAAAUGCUAAAAAUCUCAGUAUGUGAUUUUCUCAAUUUAAAAAAAUCUUUAGAAAUUAUAAAAACAAUAUUUGUGUAAAAUCA